UGACCAUUAUUAUGCUCAAAUGUAAUUAUUGUCUCAUUUUUAUCCUUUUUGUAGUGUAAACUUAAGUAUAAAAAUAAAGAUUUAUGAAUAUGUCAGACAAAUUAUAUAAAAUGGGUGAUCACUUGGUAAGUAAUUUUUAUACCUUUGUUGUGGUCUGUGUAGAUGGAGGCUAUUUUGGCAAUAGCCAUGCACUUAGACAUAGCAUGACCAGUCCAUAUGUGGACUGCCUAUGUCUAUUAAUUAAACAUGACUGAAUACCCAAAUUAGAUUCAAGAUUAUGAUAUGUCCCAGGCAUGGAUCCAAAAAUGACCAUGUACUGAAGUUAUAUGGCAUGAGCCAUGUAAAAUAUGGUGGGAAACAUACAAUUGGGGCUGCAUGCCUGCAUCCCACCAUAAUGCACUAGUCAAUUGAAACCCCGACCCCCGGGAUAGGGAGGGGAAAUUAACAUUUUGACAAUGUUAAAUUUUGGACAUUUCCCUGCUACCGGGAGAAUAUUGGCUGUUAAAAUUACUGUCCCUAUGGUCCCAGCACUUUGCAAAUUUUCAUGACUUGGGAAAUUUUCAUGACUUGGGAAUUAAUUGUCCUGGCUAAUAAAUUGAUUUGUUAUUUAUUACCCUGUACCCUGGGGGAAAUCUGCAUUAAGACUGUGUUAAUCCACGGCCAUUCCCCCAUUAAUUCCCCACCCUGUCCCUGGGGUUGAGGGUUUCAAUUGACUAGUGCAUGCAUAAACAUUGCAAAGGUCCAUUUUGUAAAUUAAUGGCACUAUGUAUUUAAUCAUAAUUUAUAGGGCCUGUGAGUUCAUGUCUGGAAUAAAAUAAUGGCAAAUCUACAGAAAUAUCACUGCUAAGGAGUGUCAAACAAAUUCAGGAGGACUGAAUUAACUGGAUGUUCUCAGGAUGAAAAAGAAAUUGUUGACUUUAAUUGAAUAAUCAUUAUCAUUAAUGUUAAAGGUUAAAAAUAUUGAACAUUCAAAAGGAUGCAGACAGAAAAUUGAAAGUAGGGCCUGAAUUUCAGGUUAAGUGAUCCAGGAAUGGGGUUGGCCCUCUGCAGGCUAAAUCAAUUGAGGGAGAUCCCUUUAUUUCAAGUUAAAUGAUUAUUUGAAUAAGAUGCCAUUCAGGCAAUAAGGGCCUGGUUAGGUCCAUAUUUUAAUUCAAAUUAUUAAGUACUCGAUUUAUCCAUCAACAAAACCCAACAUUAAAAUUUCCAUCGAGUGAGAUGCGCAACAAAACCAUCUAUAGUUUAUUAAUUAUGUUAACCUAAUCCAUCAAUUGGCAAUGAGCCUACUUU
This is a non-coding RNA of Paramuricea clavata, 1287 nucleotides long. The record is from the annotation of a GenBank genome assembly. NCBI's taxonomy places the organism in Eukaryota, Metazoa, Cnidaria, Anthozoa, Malacalcyonacea, Plexauridae.